This is a long non-coding RNA of Oncorhynchus nerka (sockeye salmon), 971 nucleotides long. RefSeq lists it as uncharacterized. NCBI's taxonomy places the organism in Eukaryota, Metazoa, Chordata, Actinopteri, Salmoniformes, Salmonidae. The record is from RefSeq and is a predicted model, not a curated record. The transcript has 4 exons.
UGUUAGGGCAAACACUCUGCAGCUGGCCAGACCUUUGACAGAAGUGACAAGUUAAAGAGCUUGGACAGAGCUGGGAGGCUGUUGGAGUGACAUAGAGUGGUGUAUGGAAGCAGGAAGCACCUCAGCAGACAGGAUCACAAUCUGACAGCAGCACAUCAGGAGCUCAGACUCAGCUAGCUAGAGGAGAUCUGCUGGAGAGGACGGACAGAGUAUCUAUUCUCCCACGCUCCAGUGCACCACUAGACAGUCUUCAGAGGACCAGAGAUCCAUAAUGGACAACCCGGACUACCAUCUACGACCAAUCUACCGAAGCGCAGCUCAGAGACCUGAGCCCUAGGACCAUGCCCCAGGACUACCUGACAUGAUGACUCCUUGCUGUCCCCAGUCCACCUGGCCAUGCUGCUGCUCCAGUUUCAACUGUUCUGCCUUACUAUUAUUUGACCAUGCUGGUCAUUUAUGAACAUUUGAACAUCUUGGCCAUGUUCUGUUAUAAUCUCCACCUGGCACAGCCAGAAGAGGACUGGCCACCCCACAUAUGCUCUCUCUAAUUCUCUCUUUCUUUCUCUCUCUCGGAGGACCUGAGCCCUAGGACCGUGCCCCAGGACUACCUGACAUGAUGACUCCUUGCUGUCCCCAGUCCACCUGACUGUGCUGCUGCUCCAGUUUCAACUGUUCUGCCUUAUUAUUAUUCGACCAUGCUGGUCAUUUAUGAACAUUUGAACAUCUUGGCCAUGUUCUGUUAUAAUCUCCACCCGGCACAGCCAGAAGAGGACUGGCCACCCCACAUAGCCUGGUUCCUCUCUAGGUUUCUUCCUAAGUUUUGGCCUUUCUAGGGAGUUUUUCCUAGCCACCGUGCUUCUACACCUGCAUUUCUUGCUGUUUGGGGUUUUAUGCUGGGUUUCUGUACAGCACUUUGAGAUAUCAGCUGAUGUACGAAGGGCUAUAUAAAUAAAUUUGAUUUGAUUUGGUAA